AUCGAGAAUCUUUAAAGCGUUCAUCCUCCUCUUCAGUCACUGCUAUUGCUGACUCAGGUAAUGCAACUACGUGCCUUCUCUCAUCCUCCUCCAAGUGGGUUAUAGACUCGGGUGCCACGGAUCAUAUGACAGGAUCUUUUGACGAAGAGGGUUAUUGGUAAGGGGCGCGAGUCUGGGGGCCUCUAUAUUCUUGACACCACGAGGCGAGAGCUUAUUGCUUGUUCAGGUGCUGUCACUCCAGUAGAAGCUCAUUGUCGUUUGGGGCAUCCUUCCCUUCCCUUGUUGAAGAAAUUGUGUCCGCAGUUUUCAAGUUUGUCUUCUUUA
Ipomoea nil (Japanese morning glory) is the source of this 324-nucleotide long non-coding RNA. RefSeq lists it as uncharacterized. NCBI's taxonomy places the organism in Eukaryota, Viridiplantae, Streptophyta, Magnoliopsida, Solanales, Convolvulaceae. The record is from RefSeq and is a predicted model, not a curated record. The transcript has 2 exons.